RNAcentral lists this ribosomal RNA (253 nucleotides) under uncultured bacterium. RNAcentral describes it as "partial 16S ribosomal RNA". It matches the Rfam family "Bacterial small subunit ribosomal RNA", at positions 524 to 776 of the family's 1533-position model. The record is from RNAcentral.
UACGUAGGGUGCGAGCGUUGUCCGGAAUUACUGGGCAUAAAGAGCUCGUAGGUGGUUUGUCGCGUUGUUCGUGAAAUCUCACGGCUUAACUGUGAGCGUGCGGGCGAUACGGGCAGACUGGAGUACUGCAGGGGAGACUGGAAUUCCUGGUGUAGCGGUGAAAUGCGCAGAUAUCAGGAGGAACACCGGUGGCGAAGGCGGGUCUCUGGGCCGAUAUUGACGCUGAGGAGCGAAAGCGUGGGGAGCGAACAGG